GGAGUUACAAAAGAAAGUUAUAAAUGAAGCGGUCUGGAAAGGCCCGCCAAAGACGGUAACAGCCCGGUAGUUGAAAUAGCUUUCCCUCCAGAGUGGAUCCUGAGUACGGCGGAACACGUGAAAUUCCGUCGGAAUCCGGGAGGACCAUCUCCCAAGGCUAAAUACUCCCUAGUGACCGAUAGUGAACCAGUACCGUGAGGGAAAGGUGAAAAGCACCCCGGAAGGGGAGUGAAACAGUUCCUGAAACCGUGUGCCUACAAGUAGUUAGAGCCCGUUAAUGGGUGAUAGCGUGCCUUUUGUAGAAUGAACCGGCGAGUUACGAUUUGUUGCAAGGUUAAGCGGAAAAAGCGGAGCCGUAGCGAAAGCGAGUCUGAAUAGGGCGCAUAAGUAACAGGUCGUAGACCCGAAACCAGGUGAUCUACCCAUGUCCAGGAUGAAGGUAAGGUAAUACUUACUGGAGGUCCGAACCCACGCACGUUGAAAAGUGCGGGGAUGAGGUGUGGGUAGCGGAGAAAUUCCAAUCGAACUUGGAGAUAGCUGGUUCUCUCCGAAAUAGCUUUAGGGCUAGCCUCGAGGUAAAGAGUCAUGGAGGUAGAGCACUGUUUGGACUAGGGGCCCUUCUCGGGUUACCGAAUUCAGAUAAACUCCGAAUGCCAUGUACUUAUACUCGGGAGUCAGACUGCGAGUGAUAAGAUCCGUAGUCGAAAGGGAAACAGCCCAGACCACCAGUUAAGGUCCCCAAAUAUAUGUUAAGUGGAAAAGGAUGUGGGGUUGCUUAGACAACCAGGAUGUUGGCUUAGAAGCAGCCACCAUUGAAAGAGUGCGUAAUAGCUCACUGGUCGAGUGACCCCGCGCCGAAAAUGUACCGGGGCUAAACAUA
RNAcentral lists this ribosomal RNA (880 nucleotides) under Listeria monocytogenes. RNAcentral's name for it is "partial 23S ribosomal RNA". It matches the Rfam family "Bacterial large subunit ribosomal RNA", at positions 310 to 1190 of the family's 2925-position model. The record is from RNAcentral. Lineage: Bacteria; Bacillati; Bacillota; Bacilli; Caryophanales; Listeriaceae.